AUCCAUGUGGAUCACAAGUAUGAUGGUUGGCUGCUAGGGCUGUGGUGUGAGAUGUGUCUCCUUCAAACCUUGCUAUGGGGCCAACCCAUGACCUAUCUGAAA
This is a small nucleolar RNA of Sorex araneus (European shrew), 102 nucleotides long. RefSeq annotates it as small nucleolar RNA U13. NCBI's taxonomy places the organism in Eukaryota, Metazoa, Chordata, Mammalia, Eulipotyphla, Soricidae. The record is from RefSeq and is a predicted model, not a curated record. The transcript has a single exon.